Molecule: unclassified non-coding RNA, 1530 nt
Filed under: Bryophyta environmental sample
Lineage: Eukaryota; Viridiplantae; Streptophyta
Description: sequence contains 18S rRNA gene, ITS1, 5.8S rRNA gene, ITS2, 28S rRNA gene
Rfam family: Eukaryotic large subunit ribosomal RNA (bases 559-1530)
Source: RNAcentral
GGAAGGAUCAUUUGAACGCAUCCCAGCAAUAUCAGUUCCAGGAUUUAAACAAAACAACUCUCAGCAACGGAUAUCUUGGCUCUUGCAACGAUGAAGAACGCAGCGAAAUGCGAUACGUAGUGUGAAUUGCAGAAUUCCGCGAAUCAUCGAGUUUUUGAACGCAACUUGCGCCCGAGGCUUGACCAAGGGCAUCUCUGCCAGAGCGUCACCGCGACACCCACCGGCCCCCCAUCUCUCUCUCUCUCCCCGGAGUUGAGUUGAGUUGAGUUGGGGCUGAGUGAAACUGGCCGUCCCAACCUUUGACCAUCCCAAAAAGUCAAAAGGUUGGGUCGGCUGAAAUGGAGGGGAACUGGGCGGCCGUGGUGACACAGCCCGCAAUCAGGUGAUCCAAGCAAGUGUUCCUUCUUGGACUUUCCAAGUGCGGCGUUGUGUCCCCCUUUGCCACAGGCUUCCCAAAAGCAGGGAAUAUUCCCACCCACUUCCGGAGCUCCCCUCCGGGGGUGGGGAACCAAACGAGAAAUCAUAUUUCUCCUUGGCCCCGGGAAUGCGUUCCGCAUCAGACCUCUGAUCAGAGAAGACUACCCGCCGAGUUUAAGCAUAUCACUAAGCGGAGGAGAAGAAACUAACCAGGAUUUCCCUAGUAACGGCGAGCGAACCGGAAAGAGCCCAGCUUGAAAAUCGGAGUGCCCCGCACCCCGAAUUGUAGUCUGGAGAUGUGUCCUCUGUAACGCACCAGACCCAAGUUCCCUGGAAAGGGACGUCAGAGAGGGUGACAACCCCGUCGAGUCUGGAUCGUGUUGCUCCACGAGGUGCAAGUCAUCGAGUCGGGCUGUUUGGGAAUGCAGCCCUAAGUGGGUGGUAAAUUCCAUCCAAGGCUAAAUAUUGGCAAGAGACCGAUAGCGAACAAGUACCGCGAGGGAAAGAUGAAAAGGACUUUGAAAAGAGAGUUAAAAAGUGCUUGAAAUUGCUGGGAGGGAAGCGAAUGGAAGCUGCGGGUGUGCCCCGGUUGGAUGUGGAACGGCUCUAAACAAGCUGGUCUGCCGCUCAACGCGGGGCACUGGUCAGCGUGGGCUGCCACGGCGGGACAAGAGCGGGGUGUAGCUCCCCGUCUAUGCCGUUGUGGCGGCCGAGGAACGAAGCGCGCGCCCCUUCUGGGGCGUCCCUUCUUACCGAGGGAACUGCGCGCUCGAGACGCUGGCGUAUUGAGCUCUUCAUCCGACCCGUCUUGAAACACGGACCAAGGAGUCUAACAUGUAUGCGAGCCGGUGGGCGGCAAACCCAUUGAGGCGCAAGUAACCUGACAGGUGGGACCCCGUCUAGGGAGCACCAUCGACCGACCGUGAUCUUCUGUGAAAGGUUUGAGUGUGAGCAUACCUGUUGGGACCCGAAAGAUGGUGAACUAUGCCUGAGCAGGGCGAAGCCAGAGGAAACUCUGGUGGAGGCUCGUAGCGAUACUGACGUGCAAAUCGUUCGUCAGACUUGGGUAUAGGGGCGAAAGACUAAUCGAACCAUCUAGUAGCUGGUUCCCUC